This 447-nucleotide ribosomal RNA is filed under the name uncultured bacterium. RNAcentral's name for it is "partial 16S ribosomal RNA". It matches the Rfam family "Bacterial small subunit ribosomal RNA", at positions 29 to 523 of the family's 1533-position model. The record is from RNAcentral.
AGCGAACGCUGGCGGCAGGCUUAACACAUGCAAGUCGAACGCCCCGCAAGGGGAGUGGCAGACGGGUGAGUAACACGUGGGAACGUACCCUUUGGUUCGGAAUAACUUGGGGAAACUCAAGCUAAUACCGGAUAAGCCCUUAUGGGGAAAGGUUUACUGCCGAAGGAUCGGCCCGCGUCUGAUUAGCUAGUUGGUGGGGUAAUGGCUCACCAAGGCGACGAUCAGUAGCUGGUCUGAGAGGAUGAUCAGCCACACUGAGACUGAGACACGGACCAGACUCCUACGGGAGGCAGCAGUGGGGAAUAUUGGACAAUGGGGGCAACCCUGAUCCAGCCAUGCCGCGUGAGUGAUGAAGGCCUUAGGGUUGUAAAGCUCUUUUACCCGGGACGAUAAUGACUGUACCGGGAGAAUAAGCCCCGGCUAACUUCGUGCCAGCCGCCGCGGUAA